GCUGUGGCCAAGUGGUAAGGCACUGGAUUUUGAUUCCAGCAUGCGAAGGUUCGAUCCCUUCCAG
RNAcentral lists this transfer RNA (64 nucleotides) under uncultured Exiguobacterium sp. It matches the Rfam family "tRNA", at positions 5 to 66 of the family's 71-position model. From Rfam's summary of the family: Transfer RNA (tRNA) molecules are approximately 80 nucleotides in length. Their secondary structure includes four short double-helical elements and three loops (D, anti-codon, and T loops). The record is from RNAcentral. Lineage: Bacteria; Bacillati; Bacillota; Bacilli; Caryophanales.